GGGGUUGUAGCUCAGCUGGGAGAGCGUCGCGAUGGCAUUGCGAAGGUCAGGGGUUCGAUCCCCCUCAACUCCACCA
RNAcentral lists this transfer RNA (76 nucleotides) under compost metagenome. Its description in RNAcentral is "tRNA-Ala". It matches the Rfam family "tRNA". Rfam says of the family: Transfer RNA (tRNA) molecules are approximately 80 nucleotides in length. Their secondary structure includes four short double-helical elements and three loops (D, anti-codon, and T loops). The record is from RNAcentral.